This 78-nucleotide transfer RNA is filed under the name Nitrososphaerota archaeon. RNAcentral's name for it is "tRNA-Val". It matches the Rfam family "tRNA". From Rfam's summary of the family: Transfer RNA (tRNA) molecules are approximately 80 nucleotides in length. Lineage: Archaea; Thermoproteati; Nitrososphaerota. RNAcentral also lists the same sequence under 1 other name. The record is from RNAcentral.
GGGCCGGUCGUCUAGCAUGGUUAGGACGUCGCUCUGACACGGCGAAGGUCGGCGGUUCAACUCCGCCCCGGCCCACCA